RNAcentral lists this long non-coding RNA (364 nucleotides) under Equus caballus (horse). RNAcentral describes it as "lncRNA (ENSECAG00000043183.2)". Lineage: Eukaryota; Metazoa; Chordata; Mammalia; Perissodactyla; Equidae. The record is from RNAcentral.
CUGUCUGCUGAAGCCGAGUCAUUUCAAAGCUUCUCAUUGAGUGAAAAUGCGUUUGGCAGCUGAGGUAAUUUCAGGAAAUCUCUUUGGUGAGGACUUUGCUGUUUGGAUUAUACAACAUUUCUGAGGAAAAAAGCCUCAGUGAAGCUCGUGCUCCAGGUGGCUCUUGGUGUCCCCGACUUUACAUUCAUCUUCUCUUCCAACUGCUUGUUCCGACCUCCAGCAUCAGAUGUGAAGAAAACGGUCUUGCAGUUCUCUCACUGUCUUCCUCUUCCAAGAGCAUCCAUAUGAAUAUCAAGUAACCGUGGAACAGGACUGAAUGUGCCUUUCAUCUCUAAAUGCAUAUAAUUUUGGAAGGUUCAUGGCA